Molecule: ribosomal RNA, 301 nt
Filed under: uncultured bacterium
Lineage: Bacteria
Description: partial 16S ribosomal RNA
Rfam family: Bacterial small subunit ribosomal RNA
Source: RNAcentral
CAGUCACGGGAAUACGUAGGGUGCGAGCGUUAAUCGGAAUUACUGGGCGUAAAGCGUGCGCAGGCGGUUGCGUAAGACAGGUGUGAAAUCCCCGGGCUUAACCUGGGAACUGCGCUUGUGACUGCACAGCUAGAGUAUGGCAGAGGGGGGUGGAAUUCCACGUGUAGCAGUGAAAUGCGUAGAGAUGUGGAGGAACACCGAUGGCGAAGGCAGCCCCCUGGGCCAAUACUGACGCUCAUGCACGAAAGCGUGGGGAGCAAACAGGAUUAGAUACCCGGGUAGUCCCUGUCUCUUUACACAU